RNAcentral lists this ribosomal RNA (322 nucleotides) under uncultured eukaryote. RNAcentral's name for it is "partial 18S ribosomal RNA". It matches the Rfam family "Eukaryotic small subunit ribosomal RNA", at positions 1470 to 1796 of the family's 1831-position model. The record is from RNAcentral.
CCCUUAGAUGUUCUGGGCCGCACGCGUGCUACACUGAGUGGAUCAGCGGGUCAGGUUGCGCGAAAGCGUUUCCUAAUCUUUAAAUCCGCUCGUGAUGGGGAUUGACGGUUGCAAUUUUCUGUCAUGAACGAGGAAUACCUUGUAAGCGCGGGUCAUCAUCCCGCGCUGAAUACGUCCCUGCCCUUUGUACACACCGCCCGUCGCUCCUACCGAUUGAGGGGUCCGGUGAGGCUUUGGGAUCUGAGCGGAAAGAGCGUUUCGCUGUUUCUGCUCGGAAAACUCAGUCGAACCUUAUCAUUUAGAGGAAGGAGAAGUCGUAACA